Molecule: transfer RNA, 131 nt
Filed under: Candidatus Bathyarchaeota archaeon
Lineage: Archaea; Thermoproteati; Candidatus Bathyarchaeota
Description: tRNA-OTHER
Source: RNAcentral
CCUGUAGGGCGGGAUUCAGGUCAAAGGGGCAGGACCGCUCCGAAAAGGAGUGGUGCUUGACUUAAGAUCCGGCUUCAGGAGAGAUCCUGUGGCGUAGGCCUUCGUGGGUUCGAAUCCCACCCCCCGCACCA